Long non-coding RNA from Arvicola amphibius (Eurasian water vole), 1000 nucleotides. RefSeq lists it as uncharacterized. The record is from RefSeq and is a predicted model, not a curated record. NCBI's taxonomy places the organism in Eukaryota, Metazoa, Chordata, Mammalia, Rodentia, Cricetidae. The transcript is spliced from 3 exons.
GCUGCCACACAGGCCUCAACAAUUCUCCCUGGAACGGCCUCUUCCUCUGGCUGACUCACGCACACAAAACACCUGACACAUACGCUUGAACCUGCUGUGCGGAGUUGUACCUCGCAGAAAGGGAGCUAUGAGCGCAAAGGCAGCCCAGUCUCUGAAGGCCUAGGCCUGCAAGUCACAGAAGCCUGAAAACCUGAGCCCCCAUCCCAGGAUUCCACAGGAAGGAGAGAAUCGAUUCCUGAAAUGUGUCCCCUGAUGUCGACACCAUCUUCUCUACAGAGACACAGCAGGGCUAAAGACGCUUUCCAGCCACGUGGCCAGACCACCAGACCGUGAAAGGACGAGAAGAAGUGGCCCUCUUCCUGCUCUGAAUUCCUCCACCUUGGAAAGAGCAGGCCACGCCUCCCCUUCACCUGCCUGCCUGCCCCUCGCUCCGCCUUCCUGCGGCUGGGAUUCCUGAUCUGUAAGCAAAGCCUUCGCGGUCCCCGGGACACUGGAAGAAAGGUUCUGUCCUCGUGUCUGCAGCAGAAGAAGAAGAAAUCACAGUUCUCACCUCAAAAGAUUAAGAGUCUACUCUAGAGUUGAAUGUACUGUGGAGCAGUGACGCAGAGGACGCAGACAGGAAAUGCUCAUCCCUUCAGGCUGAGAAGAUGAGAUUGGAGCAGAGACGGAGAGAAUUCCAGGGGAAGACAACUCCAAUUCAGAGCUCCUAAAAUAGAUCAAUGGAAUGUUGUGGGGAAACCCCAAAGGGGUGUGCAAGAUGGGAGGGGCAUGGCAUGAGGGGAGGGUGAGGAGAGGAGGGGCUAGGUAGCCUGCCUAGCUGAAUGAGUGAGCACUAGGGUCCCUGAGAGCCCCUGUGUCAAAUAAUAAUAAAUAAGGUGGAGGGUCAAUGAGAUGGGUGGGUGGGUGAAGGUGCCUACAUGCCUGGCAGCCUGGGUUCAGUCCCCAGAACCCAUAAGGAGAUAAACUAACUACGAACCUCUACGCUCACGCUGUGGCAUGU